GAUGAACGCUGGCGGCGUGCCUAAUACAUGCAAGUCGAGCGAACGGACGAGAAGCUUGCUUCUCUGAUGUUAGCGGCGGACGGGUGAGUAACACGUGGAUAACCUACCUAUAAGACUGGGAUAACUUCGGGAAACCGGAACUAAUACCGGAUGAUAUUUUGAACCGCAUGGUUCAAAAGUGAAAGACGGUCUUGCUGUCACUUAUAGAUGGAUCCGCGCUGCAUUAGCUAGUUGGUAAGGUAACGGCUUACCAAGGCAACGAUGCAUAGCCGACCUGAGAGGGUGAUCGGCCACCCUGGAACUGAGACACGGUCCAGACUCCUACGGGAGGCAGCAGUAGGGAAUCUUCCGCAAUGGGCGAAAGCCUGACGGAGCAACGCCGCGUGAGUGAUGAAGGUCUUCGGAUCGUAAAACUCUGUUAUUAGGGAAGAACAUAUGUGUAAGUAACUGUGCACAUCUUGACGGUACCUAAUCAGAAAGCCACGGCUAACUACGUG
This 497-nucleotide ribosomal RNA is filed under the name uncultured bacterium. Its description in RNAcentral is "partial 16S ribosomal RNA". It matches the Rfam family "Bacterial small subunit ribosomal RNA", at positions 28 to 507 of the family's 1533-position model. The record is from RNAcentral.